UUUUUCUUUUUCCCAACGCAGCCUUGGUGCUCUCCCUCAACCGUUUCCGUUUCCUUUUCCUUUUCUCUCAGAGAUUCAAUCGAAAAUUCUGGAGUUGUAUCAGAGUUACGAAGCACAAUCAGAGUUCAGGCGUUGCUUUUCCAUAGAUUGGGAAGAUCUUGGAGAAGGCCCUCGCACAAGUUCAAAUAUUUUGGAUUAACUAUAGAGAUCAGAUCAAGGGUGCUUAGUUC
This is a long non-coding RNA of Malus domestica (apple), 230 nucleotides long. RefSeq lists it as uncharacterized. NCBI's taxonomy places the organism in Eukaryota, Viridiplantae, Streptophyta, Magnoliopsida, Rosales, Rosaceae. The record is from RefSeq and is a predicted model, not a curated record.